Molecule: small nuclear RNA, 171 nt
Organism: Rana temporaria (common frog)
Lineage: Eukaryota; Metazoa; Chordata; Amphibia; Anura; Ranidae
Product: U1 spliceosomal RNA
Exons: 1
Source: RefSeq, a predicted model, not a curated record
AUACUUACCUGGCAGGGGAGACACCAUGAUCAUGAAGGUGGUUCUGCCAGGGCGAGGCUUGGCCAUUGCACUCUGGCUGUGCUGAUUGUGGUGUAUUCCCUUCUCGGCCUUUUGGCUAGGAUCGAGUGUGAUAUCUGUUCUUAUCAGUUGCCAGCGGAGCGCUGAAGCACC